Long non-coding RNA from Astyanax mexicanus (Mexican tetra), 463 nucleotides. RefSeq lists it as uncharacterized. NCBI's taxonomy places the organism in Eukaryota, Metazoa, Chordata, Actinopteri, Characiformes, Acestrorhamphidae. The transcript has 2 exons. The record is from RefSeq and is a predicted model, not a curated record.
UUUUAUUAUUGGUUCAAAGACACCCCGAAGUGAAUGGAUAGCUUCGCUCAAAUGGUCCUCUCAUCCCUCAGCAGCACACUUCCGGUGGCACGUUUUGGAAGGGAAAAGCUGGGGUCUGCAUUUCAGUAGAGCCGCUGCGGCCUACCCAACCUUCAAAGGACACACCUUCGUAGACCGUGUCCUUCGAAGGAUGCAGCCCCUGAAUUGAGACACAGCCAAAGUGAGACGCAUCCUUCACGGCGAAGGCAAUCCCAUGAUGCAUUUCACCAGCUCAGAGUUCCAGCGCUCAAAUUUAAAAACAUGGCGGACGGAGCCUGCACUGCGAGGGAGUUUCCUCCCUCGUACAAACGGCUGAACGCGGGCCGUGGAAGGUGAACUCUGGUCAGACCGGCUGGAGGCAGCGUUAGCUCCCAUUAUGAAUAGUUUUUUUCUUUGAAUUUAAUAAAGUUUUCUCUCUUUACAU